GAUGAACGCUGGCGGCGUGCCUAAUACAUGCAAGUCGAGCGAACGGACGAGAAGCUUGCUUCUCUGAUGUUAGCGGCGGACGGGUGAGUAACACGUGGAUAACCUACCUAUAAGACUGGGAUAACUUCGGGAAACCGGAGCUAAUACCGGAUAAUAUUUUGAACCGCAUGGUUCAAAAGUGAAAGACGGUCUUGCUGUCACUUAUAGAUGGAUCCGCGCUGCAUUAGCUAGUUGGUAAGGUAACGGCUUACCAAGGCAACGAUGCAUAGCCGACCUGAGAGGGUGAUCGGCCACACUGGAACUGAGACACGGUCCAGACUCCUACGGGAGGCAGCAGUAGGGAAUCUUCCGCAAUGGGCGAAAGCCUGACGGAGCAACGCCGCGUGAGUGAUGAAGGUCUUCGGAUCGUAAAACUCUGUUAUUAGGGAAGAACAUAUGUGUAAGUAACUGUGCACAUCUUGACGGUACCUAAUCAGAAAGCCACGGCUAACUACGUGCCAGCAGCCGCGGUAAUACGUAGGUGGCAAGCGUUAUCCGGAAUUAUUGGGCGUAAAGCGCGCGUAGGCGGUUUUUUAAGUCUGAUGUGAAAGCCCACGGCUCAACCGUGGAGGGUCAUUGGAAACUGGAAAACUUGAGUGCAGAAGAGGAAAGUGGAAUUCCAUGUGUAGCGGUGAAAUGCGCAGAGAUAUGGAGGAACACCAGUGGCGAAGGCGACUUUCUGGUCUGUAACUGACGCUGAUGUGCGAAAGCGUGGGGAUCAAACAGGAUUAGAUACCCUGGUAGUCCACGCCGUAAACGAUGAGUGCUAAGUGUUAGGGGGUUUCCGCCCCUUAGUGCUGCAGCUAACGCAUUAAGCACUCCGCCUGGGGAGUACGACCGCAAGGUUGAAACUCAAAGGAAUUGACGGGGACCCGCACAAGCGGUGGAGCAUGUGGUUUAAUUCGAAGCAACGCGAAGAACCUUACCAAAUCUUGACAUCCUUUGACAACUCUAGAGAUAGAGCCUUCCCCUUCGGGGGACAAAGUGACAGGUGGUGCAUGGUUGUCGUCAGCUCGUGUCGUGAGAUGUUGGGUUAAGUCCCGCAACGAGCGCAACCCUUAAGCUUAGUUGCCAUCAUUAAGUUGGGCACUCUAAGUUGACUGCCGGUGACAAACCGGAGGAAGGUGGGGAUGACGUCAAAUCAUCAUGCCCCUUAUGAUUUGGGCUACACACGUGCUACAAUGGACAAUACAAAGGGCAGCGAAACCGCGAGGUCAAGCAAAUCCCAUAAAGUUGUUCUCAGUUCGGAUUGUAGUCUGCAACUCGACUACAUGAAGCUGGAAUCGCUAGUAAUCGUAGAUCAGCAUGCUGCGGUGAAUACGUUCCCGGGUCU
This 1372-nucleotide ribosomal RNA is filed under the name uncultured bacterium. RNAcentral describes it as "bacterial SSU rRNA". It matches the Rfam family "Bacterial small subunit ribosomal RNA", at positions 28 to 1381 of the family's 1533-position model. The record is from RNAcentral.